This 465-nucleotide ribosomal RNA is filed under the name uncultured bacterium. RNAcentral's name for it is "partial 16S ribosomal RNA". It matches the Rfam family "Bacterial small subunit ribosomal RNA", at positions 338 to 795 of the family's 1533-position model. The record is from RNAcentral.
CCUACGGGUGGCAGCAGUGGGGAAUAUUGCGCAAUGGGCGAAAGCCUGACGCAGCGACGCCGCGUGAGGGAUGAAGGUCUUCGGAUCGUAAACCUCUGUCAGCAGGGAAGAAAGGUCACUGUGCUAAUCAGCAGUGAAUUGACGGUACCUGCAAAGGAAGCACCGACUAACUCCGUGCCAGCAGCCGCGGUAAUACGGAGGGUGCGAGCGUUAAUCGGAAUUACUGGGCGUAAAGCGCUCGUAGGCGGUAUGGCAAGUCAAGGGUGAAAUCCCCGCGCUCAACGUGGGAACUGCCUUUGAAACUGGCAAACUGGAGUGUGUGAGAGGAUAGUGGAAUUCCAGGUGUAGGAGUGAAAUGCGUAGAUAUCUGGAGGAACAUCAGUGGCGAAGGCGACUAUCUGGCACAUAACUGACGCUGAGGAGCGAAAGCGUGGGUAGCAAACAGGAUUAGAUACCCUAGUAGUC